Molecule: non-coding RNA, 53 nt
Filed under: Paracoccus sp. (in: a-proteobacteria)
Lineage: Bacteria; Pseudomonadati; Pseudomonadota; Alphaproteobacteria; Rhodobacterales; Paracoccaceae
Description: Paracoccus sp. Guanidine-II sequence
Rfam family: Guanidine-II riboswitch aptamer (mini-ykkC)
About the family: Simpler in structure and has fewer highly conserved nucleotide positions than the ykkC-yxkD leader.
Source: RNAcentral
GCGACAGGACGACCUGUUGCCCGCACCGGGCCGCGAUUGCCGGGACGACCCGC